CCUGUACUCUGUAGCUGGGCGACAGAGUAAUUAAAAGUAGGUGCUUUCUUAUUAUUUCCUCAUUUAUCUCGGGCUUCUGAUUUCAUCAUGAUGGUGUUUCUUCUUUUCCUUGUUCCAAUGUGAGAAUAUUUUGCUUUGACAAGAGGCAGGAGCAAUUAGUCAUUGAAUGGAACUCACUAGUUUAGCUUUGUGCCAUAUAUUACUAUUACAAUGUCUCUCCUCAAAUACCCAUCAUCAUUUCUUUAGACUUUGGCUUAAAUAAGAGAAUGAUGAAGGAUGUGAUGCUGACUAGGAUAAUAUCCCAUAAAGAUGGAGAAGAAACUGUUUGGAAUUUUGUUUUCUGUAUUUUCUCCUUCUCUUCUUCCCUUUCUCCUACUGUUGCCCAGAUCAGUGAAUCUUUGUGCAAUAAAAACUGUUGAGAACAGUUAAGCAUAACCAACUGACCUAACAACUGCCUCUUGAUAUCCUAUGCAACAUUCCAUAUUCCUCUCCCCCCCCCCCCCCACAACCAAUCUAAAGGCAAGGGGCUCUGUGAAAUGUCUAUUUUUACAGAGGCUUGCCAGAAUGUUAACUACUCCUAGCCCAUUGCUGGUACCACACAUGUAGGCUUUAUUAAUUUCUGACUUUCCAAUGAAAGACUGAAUUCAUUUUAUAAGAAAGCAAGAAGUUCAUCUCUAUAACAUUCUUAAUCCUCUAAAUAAUACAAAAAGUAGCACAUAAUUUUUCUACCUUUCAUACUUUUCUAGUCCUCUGAUUAAUACCUCUUGUCAAUUUUUUAUUACUCAUCUUUUGUAAUGUGUCCCAGGAACAUCCUAUCCCCAAACCAAAGAUGCUAAGCCUGUCUGUAUUGUGGGCAGAUUUUUCUCUUUGGUUCUCCACCUUAGAAUUUUACUACUGGGAAAUUUCUAAACUAAGACUUGGGGAACUGAAGUUGAAACCCCUUGCCUUUCUCUCAUGGAAAUUAUCUGUAAACUGGCUGCCCCAUAAUUCAUUUAAGAUGUGUGGCAGAAAGAGAGAGCCCAUGGUGCUGAAGAGUUUCUCUAUGGAGUGACUGCCUCAAGGACCAGGGAAUUUGAGUCUUCAUAUUGAGUUCAAACUGCUGGAUCAGUGGCUAAUUGUGAAAAGACUUUAGCAGGAUUACAGCAAAAUUAUGAUGCUCCAACGGAAAGAGAACUGAGCCUCAGCUUCAAAACCAUCAGGAUCAAAUUGUCAGGAAGCUGAAUAAAGUUAGUAAAGUUUUUAACA
RNAcentral lists this long non-coding RNA (1245 nucleotides) under Monodelphis domestica (gray short-tailed opossum). RNAcentral's name for it is "lncRNA (ENSMODG00000049287.1)". Lineage: Eukaryota; Metazoa; Chordata; Mammalia; Didelphimorphia; Didelphidae. The record is from RNAcentral.